Neofelis nebulosa (Clouded leopard) is the source of this 876-nucleotide long non-coding RNA. RefSeq lists it as uncharacterized. The record is from RefSeq and is a predicted model, not a curated record. The transcript is spliced from 2 exons. Lineage: Eukaryota; Metazoa; Chordata; Mammalia; Carnivora; Felidae.
GUGGGCUAUGCAAAUUAUGGGGGAGGGGAGAGAGAAAACCAAGGGUGUUGGGAAGUGGAGAAGGUGGUGGGGACAAGACACUCAGUGAAAUCAAAGGAGCGCCGGAGUGGGGGCACUAGAGGAACGUGAGGGGAGGGGGCGUGGACAGUGUGAGUUGCUCAUGGUACAGACUCCACAGGUAAGAACAUUAGGGGAGAUGAUGAGGUCCAGAAUAUGGCCACAGAAGUGCGAUGGGGGAAGAUCAUUGGAGGAAACGAGGUCUGGCCGUUGAGUAUUACGUCGGUCAUCCAUAUGGAUGGUUUACCUGCAGGCCGAGAUUUCAAAAACCCCAACAAACAAACACACAGCACUGUGGGAUUUCAGGCAGUGACCACCUGCAUUUCAUUUUGGCAAUUAAACCAGGACUCCCUUUCAAAGAAACUUCUAUGCAAAGUGCCGUGUUUCUAGAAUGAGGCGCGUGUUUUUUCAACCUUGAAGUCACCCUCUUGAAAAGAAGACCCAGAAACCCAAGCUUUCAGAACUUGGUUAUAGUAUCACCAUUGCUAUGGUAAUUUUACAACCAAUAGCCCCCAAAGUUACUUUAUUUAACAGAGGGCUUCAAGACCAGGCGGAAUUUCUUGGCAAUCUCACCUGCCCCUGCUGACUUGACUGUUCUACAUCUGUUUCCAUGGGAAUCUUCACCCUUAAAGUCCAGGAGAUGACCUCAGCUGCACCAAGUUGCCAAGCAGAGCCCAUCCGGAGAGGGAGGGGUGGGGGGAUUUGGACACAGGGCCCCUUGCUGGUCCCAGCACUGCUGUCUGACCCAGAAACAAUGAACCUGUUCACUAUUCAUAAACGCUGUCCAAUAAAGAGCAUGCAUCAAAACUUAAAAGCCAA